RNAcentral lists this ribosomal RNA (450 nucleotides) under uncultured bacterium. RNAcentral describes it as "bacterial SSU rRNA". It matches the Rfam family "Bacterial small subunit ribosomal RNA", at positions 328 to 794 of the family's 1533-position model. The record is from RNAcentral.
UGGCCAGACUCCUACGGGAGGCAGCAGUGGGGAAUAUUGCACAAUGGGGGGAACCCUGAUGCAGCGACGCCGCGUGGGUGAAGGAGCACCUCGGUGCGUAAAGCCCUAUCGGCAGGGAAGAAACAGACGGUACCUGACUAAGAAGCCCCGACUAACUACGGGCCAGCAGCCGCGGGAAUUAGUAGGGGGCAAACGUUAUCCGGGUUCACUGGGUGUAAAGGGAGCGUAGACGGCGACGCAAGUCUGGAGUGAAAGCCCGGGGCCCAACCCCGGGACUGCUCUGGAAACUGCGUCGCUGGGGUACGGGAGGGGCAGGCGGAAUUCCUGGUGUAGCGGUGAAAUGCGUAGAUAUCAGGAGGAACACCGGCGGCGAAGGCGGCCUGCUGGACCGUGACUGACGUUGAGGCUCGAGAGCGUGGGGAGCAAACAGGAUUAGAUACCCUAGUACAU